GNGCAAGCGUUAUCCGGAAUUAUUGGGCGUAAAGAGCUCGUAGGCGGUUUGUCGCGUCUGCUGUGAAAACUGGAGGCUCAACCUCCAGCCUGCAGUGGGUACGGGCAGACUAGAGUGCGGUAGNGGAGAUUGGAAUUCCUGGUGUAGCGGUGGAAUGCGCAGAUAUCAGGAGGAACACCGAUGGCGAAGGCAGAUCUCUGGGCCGUAACUGACGCUGAGGAGCGAAAGGGUGGGGAGCAAACAGGCUUAGAUACCCUGGUAGUCCACCCCGUAAACGUUGGGAACUAGUUGUGGGGGCCAUUCCACGGUCUCCGUGACGCAGCUAACGCAUUAAGUUCCCCGCCUGGGGAGUACGGCCGCAAGGCUAAAACUCAAAGGAAUUGACGGGGACCCGCACAAGCGGCGGAGCAUGCGGAUUAAUUCGAUGCAACGCGAAGAACCUUACCAAGGCUUGACAUAUACGAGAACGGGCCAGAAAUGGUCAACUCUUUGGACACUCGUAAACAGGUGGUGCAUGGUUGUCGUCAGCUCGUGUCGUGAGAUGUUGGGUUAAGUCCCGCAACGAGCGCAACCCUCGUUCUAUGUUGCCAGCACGUAAUGGUGGGAACUCAUGGGAUACUGCCGGGGUCAACUCGGAGGAAGGUGGGGAUGACGUCAAAUCAUCAUGCCCCUUAUGUCUUGGGCUUCACGCAUGCUACAAUGGCCGGUACAAAGGGCUGCAAUACCGUGAGGUGGAGCGAAUCCCAAAAAGCCGGUCCCAGUUCGGAUUGAGGUCUGCAACUCGACCUCAUGAAGUCGGAGUCGCUAGUAAUCGCAGAUCAGCAACGCUGCGGUGAAUACGUUCCCGGGUCUUGUACACACCGCCCGUCAAGUCAUGAAAGUCGGUAACACCUGAAGCCGGUGGCCCAACCCUUGUGGAGGGAGCCGUCGAAGGUGGGAUCGGUAAUUAGGACUAAGUCGUAACAAGGUAACCAAUCGAAUUCCCGCGGGCCGCCNUNGCGGCCGGAGC
Molecule: ribosomal RNA, 1009 nt
Filed under: bacterium H01
Lineage: Bacteria
Description: bacterial SSU rRNA
Rfam family: Bacterial small subunit ribosomal RNA
Source: RNAcentral